GAAGAAGGAAGGAAGGAAGGAAGGAAGGAAAAUUGAUGAAUUGAUGAAGUUCCAGAGCUGAAAGAGUAAAAACAGUAUAUGAAGGAUCCAAACAUGCCUAUACAUCUUUUGGAGAGCUGAAUCCACUCUGCCAAGGUCCCAUGAUCAGUGUACACUCAAAGAUAUUCAAGAAGAAGGUGGGAUUUUUUAAUAUUAUGGAGGCUUCUGAACUUCCCUUACUAGUGUAUGAUCAUUCAGCUGCAACAAACCUCUUAUCCUGACAGACUGGAUUCUUCUAUUUACUGUUUGCUACUAUUCUGAAGAUGCUUCCCCAUGAUUCACUUUUAUUCCCUAGGACAUGGU
This 342-nucleotide long non-coding RNA is filed under the name Monodelphis domestica (gray short-tailed opossum). RNAcentral describes it as "lncRNA (ENSMODG00000044239.1)". Lineage: Eukaryota; Metazoa; Chordata; Mammalia; Didelphimorphia; Didelphidae. The record is from RNAcentral.